ACAGCAGUCGCCACGGGAAUACAGAGGGUGCGAGCGUUAAUCGGAUUUACUGGGCGUAAAGCGUGCGUAGGCGGCUUUUUAAGUCGGAUGUGAAAUCCCUGAGCUUAACUUAGGAAUUGCAUUCGAUACUGGGAAGCUAGAGUAUGGGAGAGGAUGGUAGAAUUCCAGGUGUAGCGGUGAAAUGCGUAGAGAUCUGGAGGAAUACCGAUGGCGAAGGCAGCCAUCUGGCCUAAUACUGACGCUGAGGUACGAAAGCAUGGGGAGCAAACAGGAUUAGAUACCCGAGUAGUCCCUGUCUCUUAUAC
This 305-nucleotide ribosomal RNA is filed under the name uncultured bacterium. RNAcentral describes it as "partial 16S ribosomal RNA". It matches the Rfam family "Bacterial small subunit ribosomal RNA", at positions 505 to 807 of the family's 1533-position model. The record is from RNAcentral.